UCGCCUGUUUACCAAAAACAUCGCCUCUUGCAAAAAUAAGGAAUAAGAGGUCCCAGCCUGCCCUGUGACUAUAUGUUCAACGGCCGCGGUAUUUUAACCGUGCGAAGGUAGCGUAAUCACUUGUCUUUUAAAUGGAGACCUGUAUGAAUGGCAUUACGAGGGCUUAACUGUCUCCUUUUUCAAGUCAAUGAAAUUGAUCUCCCCGUGCAGAAGCGGGGAUAAUUCCAUAAGACGAGAAGACCCUAUGGAGCUUUAGACACCAAGGCAUAUCAUGUUACCUACCCCUAAACCCAGGGAAUUAAACCUAUUGAGCUAUGCCCCUAUGUCUUCGGUUGGGGCGACCACGGGGAAAUAAAGAACCCCCGCGUGGAAUGGGAGCACUUACUCCUACGACCAAGAGCUGCAGCUCUAACGAACAGAAUUUUUGACCAAUAAAGAUCCGGCAAUGCCGAUCAACGGACCAAGUUACCCUAGGGAUAACAGCGCAAUCCCCUUUUAGAGCCCGUAUCAACAAGGGGGUUUACGACCUCGAUGUUGGAUCAGGACAUCCUAAUGGUGCAGCCGCUAUUAAGGGUUCGUUUGUUCAACGAUUAAAGUCCUACGUUAAUCCGAAUUCAGACCGGAGUAAUCCAGGUCAUUUUCUAUC
This 646-nucleotide ribosomal RNA is filed under the name Schedophilus medusophagus (Cornish blackfish). RNAcentral describes it as "partial 16S ribosomal RNA". It matches the Rfam family "Bacterial large subunit ribosomal RNA", at positions 1796 to 2642 of the family's 2925-position model. Lineage: Eukaryota; Metazoa; Chordata; Actinopteri; Scombriformes; Centrolophidae. The record is from RNAcentral.